UAUACACCUUGUGAAAGUUAAUGAAGAACAAAGUGAAGAACAAGAGAGAGAGUAAGAAGAGAAAUCAAGAGUAAGAGAGAUAGAGUAAAGAAGGAUUUUUUUCCUUAACCAUAAUGUGCAACAUGUUACAGAAAUUUAAAGGCAAGAUGCCUUGGUACAACAAUGAAUAAAAUAUGAAACUCAUAAACUAAGAAAAUAAUAAAGAAUGGAAAUCUGAUCGAUAGAUAGUGACAAGUCCUCAACGGUCUUGGAGCAUUCCUUGUCUUCUUCCAUCCUUAAGUAGAUCAUGUGACUAAUACUAUAAAUAAUUCACCCAACUUGUCUCCUUACUCUCCAACUGUUAGGUGCUUCUUGUGAGUUUAAAUUCACCAGCUCCACUAUGUUCCUGAAAAAUUUCUCAAGUCCAGUCUUGUUUCUCAAGUCCAUCC
RNAcentral lists this long non-coding RNA (428 nucleotides) under Brassica napus (rape). RNAcentral's name for it is "long non-coding RNA (BNAP_LNC012324)". The record is from RNAcentral. Lineage: Eukaryota; Viridiplantae; Streptophyta; Magnoliopsida; Brassicales; Brassicaceae.